Molecule: unclassified non-coding RNA, 448 nt
Filed under: Westoniella eriocephala
Lineage: Eukaryota; Viridiplantae; Streptophyta; Magnoliopsida; Asterales; Asteraceae
Also listed under: 1 other name
Description: partial external transcribed spacer
Source: RNAcentral
GAGUGGUGUUUGGUUUGAUACGGGUGGUUGGCUCCCUGCUUGAGCAGGCACGACCUCACGUCCAUUCCUUUUCAGUUGUGCGGCAAGGCUUGUAUUGUCUUGAUCGUAUAUGUGGGUUUCCUGUGUUGCAUACCUGAUCAACGGCAUCGUUUUGAUCAAAAACGUACGUUUUUCAUCUGGCGUUGCACAACAACGUCGGAUGAACCAUGUAGCAUCCUUUUUGAUCCAUAUAGUCGAUGAGAUUUCGUUGAUUGUUUGGCUCGUUAAGGGUGGCUUGGUCUCUCGGAUAUGGAAGCCAAAGUGGGCAUGGGUUCGUAUGAUCCUCUUAAUGCCCUCGUUGAGCGUUCUCGCUUCUCUUACACGACCGCCUUUCACGUAUGGCACGUCCCAGCGUGUUUGGCUAUGUCGAAGAGGAAUGUUACCUGGUUGAUCCUGCCAGUAGUCAUAU